GGGCAGGUCUGCGCGGCGGGACGCCGUGAACCAUGUCAGGCGGGGAACCGAGCAGCAUUAAGCGGCAGUUCCCGGGCGAUGCAGGGCGCCUGUCCGUU
Non-coding RNA from Clostridium sp. CAG:1013, 98 nucleotides. It matches the Rfam family "Bacterial small signal recognition particle RNA". Rfam says of the family: The signal recognition particle (SRP) is a universally conserved ribonucleoprotein involved in the co-translational targeting of proteins to membranes. Archaeal SRP consists of a 7S RNA and homologues of the eukaryotic SRP19 and SRP54 proteins. The record is from Rfam. NCBI's taxonomy places the organism in Bacteria, Bacillati, Bacillota, Clostridia, Eubacteriales, Clostridiaceae.